GAGGGUCUAGCUCAGGGGUAGAGCACGUGCUUAGCACACACGAGGUUCUGGGUUCAACCCCUAGGAUCCCCA
RNAcentral lists this transfer RNA (72 nucleotides) under Camelus bactrianus (Bactrian camel). It matches the Rfam family "tRNA". From Rfam's summary of the family: Transfer RNA (tRNA) molecules are approximately 80 nucleotides in length. Their secondary structure includes four short double-helical elements and three loops (D, anti-codon, and T loops). Further hydrogen bonds mediate the characteristic L-shaped molecular structure. tRNAs have two regions of fundamental functional importance: the anti-codon, which is responsible for specific mRNA codon recognition, and the 3' end, to which the tRNAs corresponding amino acid is attached (by aminoacyl-tRNA synthetases). tRNAs cope with the degeneracy of the genetic code in two manners: having more than one tRNA (with a specific anti-codon) for a particular amino acid; and 'wobble' base-pairing, i.e. permitting non-standard base-pairing at the 3rd anti-codon position. Lineage: Eukaryota; Metazoa; Chordata; Mammalia; Artiodactyla; Camelidae. The record is from Rfam by way of RNAcentral. RNAcentral also lists the same sequence under 2 other names.